RNAcentral lists this ribosomal RNA (397 nucleotides) under uncultured bacterium. RNAcentral's name for it is "partial 16S ribosomal RNA". It matches the Rfam family "Bacterial small subunit ribosomal RNA", at positions 523 to 918 of the family's 1533-position model. The record is from RNAcentral.
AUACGUAGGGGGCGAGCGUUGUCCGGAAUGAUUGGGCGUAAAGGGCGCGUAGGCGGCCUGUUAAGUCUGGAGUGAAAGUCCUGUUUUCAAGAUGGGAAUUGCUUUGGAUACUGAUGGGCUUGAGUGCAGGAGAGGUUAUCGGAAUUCCCGGUGUAGCGGUGAAAUGCGUAGAGAUCGGGAGGAACACCAGUGGCGAAGGCGGGUAACUGGACUGCAACUGACGCUGAGGCGCGAAAGUGUGGGGAGCAAACAGGAUUAGAUACCCUGGUAGUCCACACUGUAAACGAUGAAUGCUAGGUGUAAGAGGUAUCGACCCCUUUUGUGCCGGAGUCAACACAAUAAGCAUUCCGCCUGGGGAGUACGGCCGCAAGGUUGAAACUCAAAGGAAUCGACGGGG